GGCCAGACUCCUACGGGAGGCAGCAGUGGGGAAUAUUGCACAAUGGGGGAAACCCUGAUGCAGCAACGCCGCGUGAGUGAAGAAGUAUUUCGGUAUGUAAAGCUCUAUCAGCAGGGAAGAAAAUGACGGUACCUGAGUAAGAAGCCCCGGCUAACUACGUGCCAGCAGCCGCGGUAAUACGUAGGGGGCAAGCGUUAUCCGGAUUUACUGGGUGUAAAGGGAGCGUAGACGGCGAUACAAGUCUGAAGUGAAAGCCCGGGGCUCAACCCCGGGACUGCUUUGGAAACUGUGUUGCUGGAGUGCUGGAGAGGCAAGCGGAAUUCCUAGUGUAGCGGUGAAAUGCGUAGAUAUUAGGAGGAACACCAGUGGCGAAGGCGGCGUACUGGACUGUAACUGACGUUGAGGCUCGAAAGCGUGGGGAGCAAACAGGAUUAGAUACCCCCGUAGAU
RNAcentral lists this ribosomal RNA (449 nucleotides) under uncultured bacterium. RNAcentral describes it as "bacterial SSU rRNA". It matches the Rfam family "Bacterial small subunit ribosomal RNA", at positions 329 to 795 of the family's 1533-position model. The record is from RNAcentral.